RNAcentral lists this ribosomal RNA (253 nucleotides) under uncultured bacterium. RNAcentral's name for it is "partial 16S ribosomal RNA". It matches the Rfam family "Bacterial small subunit ribosomal RNA", at positions 524 to 776 of the family's 1533-position model. The record is from RNAcentral.
UACAGAGGGUGCAAGCGUUGUUCGGAAUUAUUGGGCGUAAAGCGCGUGUAGGCGGCUUAGCAAGUCGGGCGUGAAAGCCCUCGGCUCAACCGAGGAAGUGCACUCGAAACUGCAGAGCUCGAGUCCUGGAGAGGAAGGCGGAAUUCUCGGUGUAGAGGUGAAAUUCGUAGAUAUCGAGAGGAACACCGGUGGCGAAGGCGGCCUUCUGGACAGUGACUGACGCUGAGACGCGAAAGCGUGGGGAGCAAACAGG